Molecule: ribosomal RNA, 497 nt
Filed under: uncultured bacterium
Lineage: Bacteria
Description: partial 16S ribosomal RNA
Rfam family: Bacterial small subunit ribosomal RNA
Source: RNAcentral
GAUGAACGCUGGCGGCGUGCCUAAUACAUGCAAGUCGAGCGAACAGACGAGGAGCUUGCUCCUCUGACGUUAGCGGCGGACGGGUGAGUAACACGUGGAUAACCUACCUAUAAGACUGGGAUAACUUCGGGAAACCGGAGCUAAUACCGGAUAAUAUAUUGAACCGCAUGGUUCAAUAGUGAAAGACGGUUUUGCUGUCACUUAUAGAUGGAUCCGCGCCGCAUUAGCUAGUUGGUAAGGUAACGGCUUACCAAGGCGACGAUGCGUAGCCGACCUGGGAGGGUGAUCGGCCACACUGGAACUGAGCCACGGUCCAGACUCCUACGGGAGGCAGCAGUAGGGUAUCUUCCGCAAUGGGCGAAAGCCUGACGGGGCACAGCCGCGUGAGUGAUGAAGGUCUUCGGAUCGGAAAACUAUGUUAUUAGGGAAGAACAAAUGUGUAAGUAACUAUGCACGUCUUGACGGUACCUAAUCAGAAAGCCACGGCUAACUACGUG